GUUGUAUGGUUAAGUGACUAAGCGUACACGGUGGAUGCCUUGGCAGUCAGAGGCGAUGAAGGACGUAUUAACUUGCGAUAAGCCCAGAGAAGGUAGUAAAAACCGGUGACUCUGGGAUUUCCGAAUGGGGAAACCCACGUGCAUAAGCACGUAUCGUGUUGUGAAUACAUAGCAGCACGAGGCGAACCGGGGGAACUGAAACAUCUAAGUACCCCGAGGAAGAGAAAUCAACCGAGAUUCCGGCAGUAGCGGCGAGCGAAACCGGAUUAGCCCUUAAGCUAGUUUUGCGUUAGGUGAAAGUUCUGGAAAGUUCUGCGAUACAGGGUGAUAGCCCCGUAACCGACAACGCAUUAUCAGUGAAAACGAGUAGGACGGGACACGUGAUAUCCUGUUUGAAUAUGGGGGGACCAUCCUCCAAGGCUAAAUACUCCUGACUGACCGAUAGUGAACCAGUACCGUGAGGGAAAGGCGAAAAGAACCCCUGUGAGGGGAGUGAAAUAGAACCUGAAACCGUGUACGUACAAGCAGUAGGAGCCCACUUGUUGGGUGACUGCGUACCUUUUGUAUAAUGGGUCAGCGACUUAAUUUUAGUAGCAAGGUUAACCGUUUAGGGGAGCCGUAGGGAAACCGAGUCUUAACUGGGCGAAUGAGUUGCUAGGAUUAGACCCGAAACCGAGUGAUCUAGCCAUGGGCAGGUUGAAGGUGAGGUAACACUUACUGGAGGACCGAACCGACUAAUGUUGAAAAAUUAGCGGAUGACUUGUGGCUAGGGGUGAAAGGCCAAUCAAACUCGGAGAUAGCUGGUUCUCCCCGAAAGCUAUUUAGGUAGCGCCUCGGACGAAUACUACUGGGGGUAGAGCACUGUUAAGGCUAGGGGGUCAUCCCGACUUACCAACCCUUUGCAAACUCCGAAUACCAGUAAGUACUAUCCGGGAGACACACGGCGGGUGCUAACGUCCGUCGUGAAGAGGGAAACAACCCAGACCGCCAGCUAAGGUCCCAAAGUUAUAGCUAAGUGGGAAACGAUGUGGGAAGGCUCAGACAGCCAGGAUGUUGGCUUAGAAGCAGCCAUCAUUUAAAGAAAGCGUAAUAGCUCACUGGUCGAGUCGGCCUGCGCGGAAGAUUUAACGGGGCUAAGCUAUACACCGAAGCUGCGGCAAUG
Molecule: ribosomal RNA, 1162 nt
Filed under: Photobacterium angustum
Lineage: Bacteria; Pseudomonadati; Pseudomonadota; Gammaproteobacteria; Vibrionales; Vibrionaceae
Description: bacterial LSU rRNA
Rfam family: Bacterial large subunit ribosomal RNA
Source: RNAcentral